RNAcentral lists this ribosomal RNA (253 nucleotides) under uncultured bacterium. RNAcentral describes it as "partial 16S ribosomal RNA". It matches the Rfam family "Bacterial small subunit ribosomal RNA", at positions 524 to 776 of the family's 1533-position model. The record is from RNAcentral.
UACGUAGGGGGCUAGCGUUGUCCGGAAUCAUUGGGCGUAAAGCGCGUGUAGGCGGUCCGGUAAGUCCGCUGUGAAAGUCGGGGGCUCAACCCUCGGAUGCCGGUGGAUACUGUCGGGCUUGAGUACGGAAGAGGCGAGUGGAAUUCCUGGUGUAGCGGUGAAAUGCGCAGAUAUCAGGAGGAACACCGGUGGCGAAGGCGGGUCUCUGGGCCGAUACUGACGCUGAGGAGCGAAAGCGUGGGGAGCAAACAGG